This 67-nucleotide transfer RNA is filed under the name Chudania hellerina. RNAcentral describes it as "tRNA-Leu". Lineage: Eukaryota; Metazoa; Arthropoda; Insecta; Hemiptera; Cicadellidae. The record is from RNAcentral.
AUUGAUUUGGCAGAAAAUAUGCAUUAAAUUUAGAAUUUAAGUAUGUGAUAUUAAUUUACAUUCAAUA